This 404-nucleotide ribosomal RNA is filed under the name uncultured bacterium. Its description in RNAcentral is "partial 16S ribosomal RNA". It matches the Rfam family "Bacterial small subunit ribosomal RNA", at positions 28 to 526 of the family's 1533-position model. The record is from RNAcentral.
GAUGAACGCUGGCGGCGUGCCUAAUACAUGCAAGUCGAGCGAAGCGGGGACGGGUGAGUAACACGUGGAUAACCUCCUAUAAGACUGGGAUAACUUCGGGAAACCGGAGCUAAACCGGAUACUUAUAGAUGGAUCCGCGCUGCAUUAGCUAGUUGGUAAGGUAACGGCUUACCAAGGCAACGAUGCAUAGCCGACCUGAGAGGGUGAAUCGCCCAACUGGAACCUAGACAAGGGCCAGAAUCCCACGGGGGGCAGCAGUGGGAAAUCUUCGGCAUUGGGCGAAACCCUGCGGAGCCAAGGCGGGGUAGGGAUUAAGGGCUUCGGGUCGUAAAACCCCGUUAUUAAGGAAACGGUACCUAAUCAGAAAGCCACGGCUAACUACGUGCCAGCAGCCGCGGUAAUAC